CUCGAGUUUGAAAAACAUUGAUUUAAAAAAUUAUAGAACACUAAUAAGAAUGUUAUUUAUUUGUAAUAUCGAACAACUAAAAACAACGUUGCACAGUUGCAAAUUCUCUAUUUUAUUUAGGUGAAAAUUGAAUAUCCUAAUGAGGUCUGCACUCUCGAGUCAUUAUUUAUCCCGCAUAAAAUCGUUUUUACGAUCGAAUUGCAAAUGAUGAUAGCUCGCCUUCUUGAACAGUAAGAUAAAUAGGAUAAAUAUACGAGCGAUUCGAGUGGUAUAGUAUUGUGGGGAAUUUCAUAGUAAAUUGAUGGACUGAGUAAGCUCUAAAAUCAGAGAAGUUUUUAUAACCGUGAUAUCGAAUUCUUAAGCCAUUACAGGUAGGUCAUUUAAUCGUUAGGUCAUAUCGACCGAGGUUUACGUUUAGGAGGAGUCACGUUUACAUGAACAAUUUCCAAGACGAUUUAAACAUUAAAGUGGUUUGAUCAUAAUAUCAACAACCUAUGUAAAAAAUACUUGAAAAAAACUUAAGAUAAACCGUUUUAAAUUUAAGGACGCUCGAAUAGGUUGUCUAACAAAAUAAUAACGGCUGUUUUUUUUUUUUUUUUUAUCGGCGGAUAAAUUUCAACACGGUCAACAGAACGAAUGUCCGAUAGCCCAUAGGUACUUAUAGUUUGUGGCGGCUCGAAUUAUUUUUACCUUAAAUCACCGAUUUGAUCCACCUAUCCACUCCCACCCUACCACAAAUGAAAUUAAAAUUUGUCAAAUUUAUCAAAUUUCCGAAGUCUAAAAUUAUUUGGAUGUUUAAUUUUGUAAAAACACAAUGAUUUUUGUUAUAUUUCUGAACACCCAGGCACCCACGACCCAUCCACCCGUUUUUUUGUGAAUUACGCGUGAUUCAAAUAUAUCUCCUUCGAGCCGCCACUGGGUACCUUAAUAAUAAUUAUGUUGACAAUCGGGGACGUACCUACACGGAAAAAAGUUAAGGGUGAGGGGUGUUUUAGAAAAUCGGUUAUUGAAAAUUAGUGCAAUAACCUAAUAUUAAAAUUGAAUUAGUAAAUAACUAUACAAAAAAACCAAAUGUUUCACGAGGUUUUUGAACACCCAAAACACCCUCCUGCAAACGAGCCUAGUAAAAAUCUAACGGUAAAUAUGCCUAUACUAACCUCCAGUAGCAAAUGAAUCUAAAAAAAAUUCGGAAACAACCCGUAAUCUACAUAGUAACCAAUCAUCGUCAAUAGUUCCAAAAAACUAUAAUUUUUUAUUUAUUUUGAUAAUGAACAUUCGUCACCCAACCCAAAAUCUUGAAAAAAUCGCGAAGCAGCCGCUACUCAAAGAUCGCGUAUUCGUCUCGUUCUAACCACUCCCCUGCCGCCCAUAGUUUUUUCCUACGAAAUGUUUUGGUCUACACCUAUGCUGGAGAUAAUAUUUUAUUCGGAAAACCGCUCCCGACAAAUGGUGCAAAAGAUACGCAAUGUACAAAAAAAAAAAAAAAAAAAAUGGUAAUACCGCAACAGUCAUCCGGUGCCUACACAAACAAAAACGGUACGCGGAACUUUCCGAUGAUAAAGUCAAACGGGGUGUCGACCGUAGGAUCUACACAAUAUUUUUACUACCUACCACGUAACUCACAAAAAAAAAAAAAACCCUAGAUUAUGAACAACUAACAAGCUAUGUACAACGGUGUGUUGUGUCAGAAAACCGCCGAACAAAAAAUAUUCGCGGUAAUUUUGCACGUAAGCGUAAAGCCGUAUAGAUUAAUAGCUGUUGUUAUCGUGUACUCACAUCAGAUUAAACUCGGGCAUAAAUAUAAAUACGUGCCGUCGCCAUUUUGUUGAGAUGUUUACCGACGACACCGCAGCGACCGUGGCUUUGUGUUUGUGCACAAUCGACGUCAUCACUCGGAAUCUCGACAAUGGACGAAAUUGACGUUUACCUGCACCGCGCCGCCACGCCGUGUAGAGAAAAAAACGAACUUUGACACAACAAUAAACAUCAGAAAACACUUCGAACUUCGAACGUAAUUAUACCCACGCGCGCGCUCGAAAACACUGCGUUGUCCGACAGGAAUAAUAAAGUACGCGUUGAUUACGCGCUUACCGUACCGCCGCGUUUCUAUCGGAUCGAACCAAUACAAUACGAGAUCAUCGUGGUUGUACAGCGUUUUUUCACCAUGAAUUUUACGACUUACCACAUUGACCGGGGGUCAACUUUGUUCCGUUCGUAAACACCUCAUCGGCGUUUAUAACCUUAUUUUAUCUUCUUACCGUAGGUACCUAUAUUGUAUUAUUUAUUUUUAUUUUUAUUAAAUAUACAGGAUAAAUGGGAUAUGUAAAGUAGGUGUAAUAAGUACAGUAAGUAUUCGUAUUAUUCGCGAAUUCCUAUCGUACCUAAACAUUUACGGUGGAUCGUAAUUAUUUAUUAACCGUUCAACUUAUUUCCGCCGAAGACGUAGACACACGUAAGAUUUUGGGUUUAUGGGCUUAUAAGUACUGUCCUAAUAUAAUUUUUUAUUUUCAGUGAGAAAUUUCAUUACGCGCAGCUAGGUACCUACAUAGGUAUAGGUCAUAUGGGUGUAUUAUAAUAUUUUUUAUCGUUCGCCGGAAGAAAGAAACCGUCCACAGCAGGGAAGACCCUACGACAGAGUUGGCGGUCGGGUUUCGACAGCCGUCUGCAAUAUAUAGGGGACGAAUCGGGAUAUAUGCUGGACAAAAACGAAAAAAAAAAUUGCGCCGGCUAACGUGAAUCCUAUAAAAUGCAUUUUUAACGUAUACAAUAUUAUAAUGUACAUAACAUAGACUAUCUAUAGUUACAUUAUUGCAGUUGUACGUCCGGAAUAGUACGCACAAACCAUAGUAAUUUUUCAAAAAAAAUUGUCCCCGUUUUGUUUGUGAGGACCGUUUUUUACGACAAUAGCAGCGGCGUGACCAGUGUCCGAAAACACAUUUUCGACGAUACGCACGCUCGCGACUGACCGCGAGAAUACAAAUCGUCAGUAUAGGUGCAAACGAUCAUCGAAAAUAAUAUAGGUACCGUUUCAUUUGACGAUGGUUAACCGGCAUGUGAACGCACAGGAAAUAAUUAUUAGCAUCACGGUCAGACAGGGAAUAGCGGAUAGUUUGCUGACUGGCAAGAAUUACCAGGAUUGGAAGGUAGAUUUUUUAAGUCCAAAUGGCAGCCUAUUGUCUUUAAGUAUUAAGUCUUUUCAGAGAUAACGUAAUUACUACAAUGUAAAAAUUAAACGUUAAAAGAUGCAUUUUUUACGUUUUGUGUAAGGGGGCAAACAAUUAUUCCUUUAUUGUGUGUUCAAGAGACCUGCUAAAAGACAACUAGAAGUGUGUUUAUUUUUCUCGGCUUCAUACGUAUACCAUAAAACAACCAAUCAUUUUCCACUGUCUAACUGGUAGAAAAAAACAAAUUCAUACUGGCACUGCAAUUAGUUUUUAAAUAUUUCAUGAAUCGUAACACAAUAAACAUAUUUUAUUAGCUAACAUUAAUAUUAAUUGAUUCGAUAAUUUUCACACACAGUUUGUGAUUAGUUACAAUAUACGAUCAAAGACCAGUAGUAGUUGGCUACUAUUAUAGUAUUUUAAUUACAAUAUUGUAAAAUAAAUAGAAGUUAACACACCGGUAUUGUUCUUUGUUUUUAAAAAUGAUAUCAACUUGUGUAAAUACUGCUGUAUACUAAGAGAAAUAACAUGAUCCAUAAAAAAAAUUAUGAGCAUAUAAAAUAUUUUUUCUUUUUAAUAAUUUAAUUACCUGCAUGUUGCAAUCUACUGUAAUUGACAAAACUCUAACCUAUAACAUGUAUAUUCAUUUGUUGUAUCUUUACA
This 3824-nucleotide long non-coding RNA is filed under the name Cinara cedri. The record is from RNAcentral. Lineage: Eukaryota; Metazoa; Arthropoda; Insecta; Hemiptera; Aphididae.